CAGAAGAGGAGGCCGCAGAAGCGCGCGGCUCUGCGGACCCAGAUGGAGCCAGCAGCGGCCGCAGCCCCAGGGGCUGAGCAGGCCUCCCAGAGGGCGAGGGAGUUCAAGGGCCUGGGGGCCCACACAGUGCAGUCAGGCCCACGUGCCUUGUCCCAGAGCUUUGCAGACAAGAACCUGCUACCCCUGACACCCCGGCAGCUGGCAGGUAAGGGCUCAGGACUGGAAGCUGGGAGGAAAACCAGGGGGUGCUCAGAGCAGAAUGCAACCGACUUGGCUGCCCAGGGGCUGGGAAGGCUGUGAGAAGCCAAGCCAGUGAUUGUAUUGGAACCUUCUCUCCCUGCCAGUCAGACUUGCUCAUCUCUGCUACCCCAGGGUUCACUGCUGGGGGUGGGUGGGGGAGUGUGAAGAAGGGAUGGAUGGAUGGAUUGGUGGAUAGAAAGCAUUUAGAGGAGUUCCUGUCGUGGCUCAGUGAUUAACGAAUCUGACUAGGAACGAUGAGGUUAUGGGUUCGAUCCCUGUCCUUGCUCAGUGGGUCAAGGAUCCGGUAUUGCUGUGGGCUGUGGUGUAGGUUGCAGAUGUGGCUCAGAUCCAGCGCUGCUAUGGCUCUGGCAUAGGCUUGGCGGCUACAGCUCCGAUUAGACCCCUAGCCUGGGUGUGGCCCUAGAAAAGGCAAAAAGACAAAAAAAAAAAAAGAAAGAAAGAAACAAAGAAAGUAUUUAGAUAGUGGAUGGAUGGAUGGUGGAUGAAUGAACAGAAUGGAAGGAAGAAGGGAAACUGGGAGAAAGGAUGGAAAAAAAGAAUCUGAGGUCCCCACGCUGCUGGGGUUUGGGGCUGUGGGGGCUGUGAGUAGGGGUGGAAGGAAUCCCAAUGCCCUUGCCAAGAUCGUGCCCUGAUAUUGGCAGGGACCCCUCAAAGCAGAAUCAUUCUAUUCAUCAUCAGUGAUUUUCAGUACCUGCUAUGUGCCAGGCGCCAGCAGCGCUCAAGGAGCCCUCAGGCACUGUCUCCAGGGCCAGACUGCUGGCGUCCAAAGCCCAGCAUUACCCCUACUGGAGACAUGACCUUGGACAUGAGUUUUUAAUGUUUUUCAUAUAAACAUGUCCAAACGUGAGUUUUCAACACGAGAAUUGAAUGGACACGUAACAAGUGCCAACACACAGCAGCCACUGUUUUCUUUACAUUGUUAUAAUACCCAGGGGGUUGGUGGAUUCCAGUCUUGUCUCAUCCGGGCCACAGUGGGCGAAUCUCAGUGUUCCUGUGUGUGCUCUUUACCUGCUGCCUUUCCCCCUCCCGGCCCCUAGCG
This 1300-nucleotide long non-coding RNA is filed under the name Sus scrofa (pig). RNAcentral describes it as "lncRNA (ENSSSCG00035068713.1)". The record is from RNAcentral. Lineage: Eukaryota; Metazoa; Chordata; Mammalia; Artiodactyla; Suidae.